UCCGGUUGAUCCUGCCGGACCCUACUGCUAUCGGGGUGGGACUAAAACAUGCUAGUCUAACGUCUCCAAGCCAUGGAAGAGACGUGGCAAAAAGCUCAGUAACACGUGGCCAACCUAACCUUGAGACAGGAACAACCCCGGGAAACUGGGGACAAUUCCAGAUAGGCGAGGAACCCUGGAAUGGAUCCUCACCCAAAAGAUGCCCGAACCAUGCUUCAGACAUCGCUCAAGGAUGGAGCCGCGACCGAUCAGGUAGUUGGUAGGACAAAGGCCUACCAAGCCCAUAACCGGUACGGGCCGUGAGAGCGGGAGCCCGGAGAUGGGAACUGAGACAAGGUCCCAGGCCCUACGGGGCGCAGCAGUUACGAAAACUCCGCAAUGCACGAAAGUGUGACGGGGCUACCCCGAGUGCCGUCCGCUGAGGAUGGCUUUUCCACGCCGUAAGGAAGCGUGGGAAUAAGGAGAGGGCAAGUCUGGUGUCAGCCGCCGCGGUAAAACCAGCUCUCCGAGUGGUAGGGAUGAUUAUUGGGCCCAAAGCGUCCGUAGCCAGCCUAACAAGUCUCUCGUCAAAUCCAACGAUCCAAUCGCUGGACCGCGGGAGAUACUGUCAGGCUAGGAGGCGGGAAAGGCCGACGGUACUCUUGGGGUAGGGGUGAAAUCCUAUAAUCCCAGGAGGACCACCAGUGGCGAAGGCUGUCGGCUGGCACGCGCUCGACGGUGAGGGACGAAAGCUUGGGGAGCGAACCGGAUUAGAUACCCGGGUAGUCCAAGCUGUAAACGAUGCGGGCUAGGUGUUGGGGUGGCUACGGGCCACUUCAGUGCCGCAGCGAAGGCAUUAAGCCCGCCGCCUGGGGAGUACGGCCGCAAGGCUGAAACUUAAAGGAAUUGGCGGGGGAGCACCACAAGGGGUGAAGCUUGCGGUUUAAUUGGAGUCAACGCCGGA
RNAcentral lists this ribosomal RNA (943 nucleotides) under uncultured archaeon. RNAcentral describes it as "bacterial SSU rRNA". It matches the Rfam family "Archaeal small subunit ribosomal RNA", at positions 1 to 922 of the family's 1478-position model. The record is from RNAcentral.